This is a long non-coding RNA of Felis catus (domestic cat), 1817 nucleotides long. RefSeq lists it as uncharacterized. The record is from RefSeq and is a predicted model, not a curated record. The transcript is spliced from 8 exons. NCBI's taxonomy places the organism in Eukaryota, Metazoa, Chordata, Mammalia, Carnivora, Felidae.
AAAAAAAAGUGUUGGGUGUCCCAACCCCUCCCCCCUUCCCGCCCGUCAAUUAAGUCUCAGCUGCAGGGCAUCUGCAUUGUUUCCGAAACCUCAAAAUCAAUAUCGAAAGAAAGGGCCUCAAGUGUUAAUGUUGUGCAAUGACACCGGGCGGGACUACAAAAGCUGUCAAGCUCAUCCUUACUGCAACCCAGAGUAGGCUCUGGGAGGAGAACGAGGAGAGGGAGAGGAGAGGGAGGAGGACAGCGAGGAGAACGCUGGGGCUUGCUGCAAGGGCAGAUCCUCGGGUGCGCGGGCGCGGGGGCUGCCGGGAAGGCCGCCUACAAUUUCCCCGGAAGUUUGCGGGGCUGCUUUGGGUCCUUCAGUUUGCACGCCUCUGACGCCGCCCCGACCUGGCCAGGGGUCUCAGAGCAGUAUUUAGUGGUCAAACAGGCACAAGGGGUCUCAGGGCAGUAUUUGGCAGCGGUCAAACAUGUUCGGAAGAACGCUUCUCUGCCCGCGUGGGACGUGAGGUGACUGGUGAAGCAAAGCACUCCUUAGCAGGCAAAGUAGGCCUUUACGGCAAGUAUGGGGGGGUGCCUGCCACCAGGGACUCCUUGCAGAUAUGGCCCCGCAUCCUUCAGGACACCUUAGAAGCCAGUAGCCACUUGACCCUGACGCUGGAUCUCCACCAGCCGAUAUCUGCGAGAAGAGCUAGAGAUAACUGGGAUCUACAUCUCUCUGGGAGAAGCCCCAGCAAAUGGCUCCUGGUGCAGAAGCAGAACUACUCCACCUUCCUUGCCCCUGGUCCAGGCUGCUCUGAGGGAGUAUUAGAAUCUCUCCUCAGGAAGACUAGACUUCUACAAAACCUCUCUUGUGUCUCAGUGGCCAAAUCAUCACUUUCUGGGUAAUACCCUACCACGACCAAGAAGAAAUGGUGUUAGUAUGUGGCCUCUGCUGAUUCCACAGACAGAACUCAGGUCUGUCUGCAUAAAACCCAAUGUACAGAUGGGCAAGUCUUCUCGCAAGUCCUUUGGCAUAUGGUGCUGGAUCCCACAAUUCCUAGAGGAUUUUCUGUACUUUGCAACUGAAGAAAAACAUCAAAACACUAGGUCUUGAAGGCUCCUAUGCACUCCUCCAGAAAUACCACAAUAAGCUGCUUGGAAAAAUACAAGAAAGAAACUGAUAAUUCUCGCACUCUACAUUCAGUGAUGAAUGAAUAUCUGACAUAUUCAAUCUCCAUUUUCAUUAAGAGAUGAUCCCACCCUUCCCUGGCUUUGGGGAUUUUGAGGUCUUCCUCUCCCCAUCCCUGAUUGGAGAAGAAUUCAGUAGUUCUGAAAAAAAUGGCUUUAUGAGAGAAGGGGUCUGGACAGGAUGAGAAGACAAUGCAAGUCUGACCCUGAGUGCAAGAGAAAGAGAAACUGUAAUACUGUGCAAUCUAAGGCAGGUUUGGCGAAGCCUUUGGGAAGCCUUCAAGCCAAAGCCGCACAGACUCUAACCAGGUCCUGAGAAGUCAGGACCUUCUGGGACAGAAGAAAGCUUUGGGACAAGACUCAGUGGAAGAGCAACAUCCUGGCACCCAGAGAAGAAGAGGCUCUGUUGUGCCUGCCUCAAGUUAGGAGAAGCCCAUGCAUAGUUGGUCCUUACAGUGGUCACUAAUGCAGAAACAGUGGCCCAAAUUGGAGACAGUAAUUGUUUAUCAGAUCAUAAACCACAUAGCCAUGAAAAGACUCCAGAAGAGUCAAGAGAAUCUUUAAGAAGAAAGCUGGAGGACUUACUCCAUCAUACAAGAGAGACAGAGCAUGAGCAGGGAAGUAGCAGAGAGAAAGGGAGACACAGAA